UAGAUGCUCUUGCAAGGGAUUUGGAACAAGCAUGCCGUGACCAUAUUGGAGAAAAUGUCGAUGAAAUUCAUGAAGUAAGUGAUGAUGAUGAUAUGGAUGACAACAUGAAUGCUCCAAGGGAUUUUGAUGAUGACUUUGAUGAUGCUACUAUUGGUGAUGAUGACAUUGAGGAGUUGGGUGACACUGUGGGUGAUGAUGAAGAUGAGGGAGACAAUGAGAUCAACAAUGUUGUUGAUUGUGGCAAUGAUGAUUUCGGCGAUGAAGAUGAUGACUUGUUUUAGCCUCUUGUUUAUUUAUUCUUCUCUUAUUUUAGUUUGUUUUGUUAAGGAUAUCAAUGUUGUGCAAGUGUUAACUUGAAGACUUGAAGUUGAAUUGCUAUUUUCUUUUAGUAUGUUCUUUUGUUAAGAUUUGAGGAAAAUGUUUGAAUGACAACUUCAAUUGCCACCUUUUUUUAUUAUGUUUUCUUUGUUUAAAAAAAUGUGCAAAAUGUAUAUUUGAAUUGAUUA
Molecule: non-coding RNA, 506 nt
Organism: Camellia sinensis
Lineage: Eukaryota; Viridiplantae; Streptophyta; Magnoliopsida; Ericales; Theaceae
Source: RefSeq, a predicted model, not a curated record